RNAcentral lists this ribosomal RNA (484 nucleotides) under uncultured bacterium. RNAcentral describes it as "partial 16S ribosomal RNA". It matches the Rfam family "Bacterial small subunit ribosomal RNA", at positions 29 to 507 of the family's 1533-position model. The record is from RNAcentral.
AUUGAACGCUGGCGGCAUGCUUUACACAUGCAAGUCGAACGGCAGCGCGGGCUUCGGCCUGGCGGCGAGUGGCGAACGGGUGAGUAAUACAUCGGAACGUGCCCAGCAGUGGGGGAUAGCUCGGCGAAAGCCGGAUUAAUACCGCAUAAGACCUGAGGGUGAAAGCGGGGGAUCUUCGGACCUCGCGCCAUUGGAGCGGCCGAUGGCAGAUUAGCUAGUUGGUGGGGUAAAGGCCUACCAAGGCGACGAUCUGUAGCUGGUCUGAGAGGACGACCAGCCACACUGGGACUGAGACACGGCCCAGACUCCUACGGGAGGCAGCAGUGGGGAAUUUUGGACAAUGGGCGAAAGCCUGAUCCAGCAAUGCCGCGUGUGUGAUGAAGGCCUUCGGGUUGUAAAGCACUUUUGGCGGGAACGAAAAGGACUGUGCCAAUACCACGGUUCGAUGACGGUACCCGCAGAAUAAGCACCGGCUAACUACGUG